Musa acuminata subsp. malaccensis (wild Malaysian banana) is the source of this 162-nucleotide non-coding RNA. NCBI's taxonomy places the organism in Eukaryota, Viridiplantae, Streptophyta, Magnoliopsida, Zingiberales, Musaceae. The record is from Rfam.
AUACUUACCUGGACGGGGUCUAUGGGCGAUCAAGAAGGCUCAUGGCCUAGGUCAGUGGCCUCCAUUGCACUUUGGAGGCGCACUGGCUUACCAUCUCCCCAAGCGGGAGAGUGGACGUCAUAAUUUGUGGUAGUGGGGGGUACGCGCCUGCGCGGCCCCUUU